This 353-nucleotide unclassified non-coding RNA is filed under the name Hevea brasiliensis (rubber tree). The record is from RNAcentral. Lineage: Eukaryota; Viridiplantae; Streptophyta; Magnoliopsida; Malpighiales; Euphorbiaceae.
UUAGUGUCGUUUUUCGCCUUAAUACUAUUGUCUCCCCCAUAUUAGUAUCCAUUGCUUGCACCCUUUACACUAGCUAUCUUAACACCACUCUUUAUAGUCUAACGGUCUUGAGAAAAAUCUCCAUUCUUCAACUGAAUGUGUCAAAUCUAGAGCUGAGUGCAUCAACUAAAUGUGUCAAAUCUCUCUCGCUUACCCUCUAUAUAAAAAUUUUUCUUUUAAAUGCUUUUGUGAGAAGUGAUUGAAUCAAACAAGCUUCAUGGUUUUGUUUAAAGGCAAUGGGAGGAAAGAUGGUAUUCUGAUGGAAAGUGCUUUCAGUUAAAAAAGGGAAUGUUUUUAGAUAACUGGUAAUAAAA